RNAcentral lists this ribosomal RNA (465 nucleotides) under uncultured bacterium. RNAcentral's name for it is "partial 16S ribosomal RNA". It matches the Rfam family "Bacterial small subunit ribosomal RNA", at positions 338 to 795 of the family's 1533-position model. The record is from RNAcentral.
CCUACGGGAGGCAGCAGUGGGGAAUAUUGCGCAAUGGGCGAAAGCCUGACGCAGCGACGCCGCGUGAGGGAUGAAGGUCUUCGGAUCGUACACCUCUGUCAGCAGGGAAGAACGGUCACUGUGCUAAUCAGCAGUGAAUUGACGGUACCUUCAAAGGAAGCACCGGCUAACUCCGUGCCAGCAGCCGCGGUAAUACGGAGGGUGCGAGCGUUAAUCGGAAUUACUGGGCGUAAAGCGCUCGUAGGCGGUAUGUCAAGUCAAGGGUGAAAUCCCCGCGCUCAACGUGGGAACUGCCUGUGAAAUGGGCAAACUGGAGUGUGUGAGAGGAUAGUGGAAUUGCAGGUGUAGGAGUGAAAUCCGUAGAUAUCUGGAGGAACAUCAGUGGCGAAGGCGACUAUCUGGCACAUAACUGACGCUGAGGAGCGAAAGCGUGGGUAGCAAACAGGAUUAGAUACCCCUGUAGUC